RNAcentral lists this transfer RNA (64 nucleotides) under Trigonopterus puspoi. Its description in RNAcentral is "tRNA-Ser". The record is from RNAcentral. Lineage: Eukaryota; Metazoa; Arthropoda; Insecta; Coleoptera; Curculionidae.
AGUUAAUGAGCUUGUAAAGCAUAUACCUUGAAAGUAUAAGAAAAGAAUAAGACCUUAUUAACUU